GUCUAUGGCCACGCCACCCGGAUCAUACCCGAUCCCGUCUGAUCUCGGAAGCUAAGCAGGGUCGGGCCUGGUUAGUACUUGGAUGGGAGACCACCUAGGAUGACCAGGUGCUGAGGGUA
Molecule: ribosomal RNA, 119 nt
Filed under: Pteropus alecto (black flying fox)
Lineage: Eukaryota; Metazoa; Chordata; Mammalia; Chiroptera; Pteropodidae
Source: RNAcentral